UGUGAGCGUGUGUGUGUGUGUGUGUGUGUGGGAGCUGAGGUUGUGCGGCUGUGUGAAGUGAGCAAUGGGGAGCCGCGCUGCCCCUUCUGUUUGCAUGCUAAUGCUGCGGCAGAGAUGGAGGAUGUGGGAGAGGAGGGGAAAAGGCCAGAGCCCACCCACACACACACACACACACACACACACACACACACACACAGACACACAAAAUCACAACCUGCGCUUCACGCUUCUCCUGGUGGAGAAUCAGAGAACAGCCGGGCUCUGUUGCUGCCUCACUGCAGAGCAUCAGGAGGAUCAAACCCACCGAAUCCGCCAUCAAUCAUCGACUCUGGAGGAGAAUUUGAGAGACGUGACACUUACAGUAAAAGUAGUAAUUUGGUGUUAAAACACUUCAAUUUGCAACAUAAACGUGUAUAUGGGAACGUCACUUAGUAGGACCGUGAUGGAGCAGGUGGAGGUGGGAGUCAGGUGAACAGGUGGAGAGCAGAUGUGAAGCCAAAAUAACGUGUUUAUUUGACUCUUUCACAAUAAAAGCAGAAAAGUGCCCUCCCUGACCGACUCAAUAAAAAAAACCUGACGAUAAACUACAAAAGCAAAAGACAAGUGUUUGUAGUGUUUUGUUAAAAAUUGCAUCCCAGAUAACGGAGUGUUAUUAUGGGCCGUUUGAAGUGACACCAGCUCCUCUUUUAGAUGAAACGCGGAGCCGGCGAUGAAAGGUUAAUGAUGCCACCAGCGAGGAGUUCGACCCCCCCCCCCCCCAUCCCCCUCCCCAUCCCCCGCCCCCCCAGGCAGUGGUAAUGACAGGUUUGGACUGCAUGUCAGGGACCACCUGCGGAGCUCCAGGCCAGGGCGCCAGCCUCCCCCUGCAGCCCGGGGCGCGGACCUCUCUGCCCGGGAGUCUCCAGCUGCCUGCUGGAUCGUGAUUGAAUUGCCUAUUUUUUGAAUGUUCAUGGUCACAUUUAAAUAGGUCUAAUUCAGUGAGGCUUCGUUGAUUUACGUUGUUUAUGCGAUCAAAAACCUGUAAACAGUCUGGAGAUUUGGGGUUGUUACAGGACAGAACUCACAGGGACAUAGAAAUGAUUUUAAAAGAACUGGAAGCAAUAACGGAUGAGAUAGUGCUGACAUUGUUAUUGAUUUUCUUUCGAGGUUCCCGCUGGAGCUGUAAAGACUGAAAACAGGCAAGAAUCCAAAACCGCAACACCGACAGCAGCAUUCAGCUCUGUAAGCUGCACAGAACAGCCCACGACACGAGUCACUUGUUAGACUAUAACCCCAGACUGCGUGUGAGACGUGGACGUAGUCAUGGUGACGCCGUCCCUCGGUUGGCGGAACGCUGUGUGCAGCAGCGGCGCUCCUCUGCUGCAGUUUGAUGGAUGGUUGCACCGCGGAGAGGCAGCGGCGCCGUAAUGGCGACCGACCUGCGGCCGACCUCUCAAAGAACCUGCAGCUUCUGUUCACGUCUGCAGCCGAAAAGGAAAUAUUUGGAAACCAAACCAACAAAGACCACCUCAGUGAAGUGUUGUGGACCGUUGAUAACAAACAAAAACGGACUCCCUCUCCGUGCCAUCCAGCCUGCUUUUGGCUUCCUUCACAUAUAGAAUCUGAGUCUGUGUACAUCAUGUUAGCAGGAGGCUCGGGAGAAGAAAAAACCCCAGAAAAGGCCUUUGUGAUAAAAAUAAUACAGAUUACGUGAGAAGGUAGCCAUGGAUACAACAUCCAGUCCCGCUUGUCAGUGCAUAUAUGGAGAGAUUUAUGUGUUUCCACCGCCAGUAGUUGUCUAAAUGCUGUGUGUUGUCAGAUUGCUGCAGUGUAGGUGGAUCCUGACCUCAGGAAGUCACAGCGUUACAUAAGCGCGAUGGAUUUCAAUCACAGCCUCCGUUUUCAUAAUUAACGCUGAUGCUGAAAGGUUUCUCUCGAAAACGACCGGCAGGACCGUCGACCAGCGAUCAGGUGGCGAUUUCAUCACUGAAUUUUGCCUGUCGCCGCGUUGUUUUGCGGCGCGGACGCAUCGCCUCGGAGCGAUCCAGGACGGUUCUGCCUUUUACGACCUCCUUCGUCACGGAUGACCUUUCCGCUCAUGUUCCCCUCACACGGAGCACUCGCCGCUCGGGGGGG
Gasterosteus aculeatus aculeatus (three-spined stickleback) is the source of this 2115-nucleotide long non-coding RNA. NCBI's taxonomy places the organism in Eukaryota, Metazoa, Chordata, Actinopteri, Perciformes, Gasterosteidae. The record is from Ensembl.